This 479-nucleotide ribosomal RNA is filed under the name uncultured bacterium. RNAcentral describes it as "partial 16S rRNA". The record is from RNAcentral.
GCACGGAGUUAGCCGGGGCUUCUUCUACGGGUACCGUCAACCUUGCGGUUUCGUCCCCGUCGAAAGGGUUUUACGUCCCAAGAGACUUCAUCACCCACGCGGCGUUGCUUGGUCAGGGUUGCCCCCAUUGCCAAAAAUUCCCCACUGCUGCCUCCCGUAGGAGUCUGGACCGUGUCUCAGUUCCAGUGUGUCCGACCGUCCUCUCAGACCGGAUACUGAUCGUUGCCUUGGUGAGCCAUUACCUCACCAACUAGCUAAUCAGCCGCGGGCUCCUCCUAGAGCGAAUUGCUCCUUUCAUCACAAAAUCCGCAGACUCUGUGAUCGUAUGCGGUAUUAGCACCGGUUUCCCGGUGUUAUUCCCCACUCCAGGGCAGAUUACCCACGUGUUACUCACCCGUGCGCCGCUGUACUCAGGGGAUUGCUCCCCUUUUCUCGUUUUACUUGCAUGACUUAGGCAAGCCGCCUUCGUUGAUUCUGUA